Molecule: long non-coding RNA, 332 nt
Filed under: Glycine max (soybean)
Lineage: Eukaryota; Viridiplantae; Streptophyta; Magnoliopsida; Fabales; Fabaceae
Description: long non-coding RNA (GMAX_LNC002758)
Source: RNAcentral
UUCAUGCUUUGGUCAGAACAGACAAGUUAUACAGUUGAGUUGUGCAAAGGAUGGGCCCAUUUGAGACUUUGAACUAUUUGUCAGGGGCAAAAGUGAUGGGUGAAUAAUUUGGCAAAAGGGGAUAAGGAGAAGGGGUGUGAUUGGCUGCACCAUAAGAAACCAAAGUGGAAAUGCUUUGCAUUCAGGAAGCAAAGCAGUGGAGGACCAUGUUUCUUACAUGUGAGGAUUGUCCCUCUUCCAUGUGCAUUUAUUGAGUCCUCUUUUAGCUCAUGUCUACUUAAGCAAGCAUUUCAUCUUGUUUUGAUCUUAUAAAGUGCUUUAUGUAAAUUCUC